This 836-nucleotide ribosomal RNA is filed under the name uncultured bacterium. Its description in RNAcentral is "bacterial SSU rRNA". It matches the Rfam family "Bacterial small subunit ribosomal RNA", at positions 9 to 863 of the family's 1533-position model. The record is from RNAcentral.
GAGUUUGAUCCUGGCUCAGGUAUGAACGCUAGCGGCGCGCCUAAUGCAUGUAAGUCGAGCGAUGAAGCCCCUUCGGGGGCAUAUCAGCGGCAGACGGGUGAGUAACACGUGGGUGACCUACCCCGUAGACUGGGAUAACUGGUGGAAACACUGGCUAAUACCGGAUGACCUUAUGGUGAUCAAAGCGAUAAGGAAAGGUUUUCGGACUGCUACGGGAGGGGCCCGCGGCCCAUCAGCUAGUUGGUGAGGUAAAAGCUCACCAAGGCUAAGACGGGUAGGGGGUGUGAGAGCACGGCCCCCCACAAUGGGACUGAGACACGGCCCAUACUCCUACGGGAGGCAGCAGCAGGGAAUAUUGCACAAUGGACGAAAGUCUGAUGCAGCGACGCCGCGUGGAUGAAGAAGGCCCUCGGGUUGUAAAAUCCUUUUAAGGGGGAAGAGGAAGGACGGUACCCCUUGAAUAAGCGUCGGCUAACUACGUGCCAGCAGCCGCGGUAAGACGUAGGACGCAAGCGUUAUCCGGAUUUACUGGGCGUAAAGCGUCUGUAGGCGGAGAGACAAGUUGGGCGUGAAAGCUCCGGGCUCAACCCGGAGAGUGCGUUCAAUACUGUUUUUCUAGAGGAAGUCAGAGGAGAGCGGAAUUUCCGGUGUAGCGGUAAAAUGCGCAGAUAUCGGAAGGAACACCAGUGGCGAAAGCGGCUCUCUGGGACUUUUCUGACGCUGAGAGACGAAAGCUAGGGGAGCGAACAGGAUUAGAGACCCUGGUAGUCCUAGCCAUAAACGAUGGAUGCUAGGUGUGGGACCGAGAAGGUCCCGUGCCGAAGCAAACGCGAUAA